This 306-nucleotide ribosomal RNA is filed under the name uncultured bacterium. RNAcentral describes it as "partial 16S ribosomal RNA". It matches the Rfam family "Bacterial small subunit ribosomal RNA", at positions 507 to 808 of the family's 1533-position model. The record is from RNAcentral.
GACAGCAGUCGCCGCGGAAUACGUAGGUGGCAAGCGUUGUCCGGAAUUAUUGGGCGUAAAGGGCUCGCAGGCGGUUUCUUAAGUCUGACGUGAAAGCCCCCGGCUCAACCGGGGAGGGUCAUUGGAAACUGGGAAACUUGAGUGCAGAAGAGGAGAGUGGAAUUCCACGUGUAGCGGUGAAGUGCGUAGAGAUGUGGAGGGACACCAGUGGCGAAGGCGACUCUCUGGUCUGUAACUGACGCUGAGGAGCGAAAGCGUGGGGAGCGAACAGGAUUAGAUACCCCCGUAGUCCCUGUCUCUUAUACA